This is a microRNA precursor of Cavia aperea (Brazilian guinea pig), 66 nucleotides long. Ensembl annotates it as microRNA 144. Lineage: Eukaryota; Metazoa; Chordata; Mammalia; Rodentia; Caviidae. The record is from Ensembl.
GGCUGGGAUAUCAUCAUAUACUGUAAGUUUGUGAUGAGACACUACAGUAUAGAUGAUGUACUAGUC